GUCUACAGCCAUACCACCCUGAACACGCCCACCUGGUCUCGUUUGAUCUCAGAAGCUAAGUCGUGUCAGGCCUGGUUACUACUUAGAUGGUAGACAGAUUAAAAGAAAUAUAGGUGAUGUUUUCA
Fukomys damarensis (Damara mole-rat) is the source of this 125-nucleotide ribosomal RNA. The record is from Ensembl. NCBI's taxonomy places the organism in Eukaryota, Metazoa, Chordata, Mammalia, Rodentia, Bathyergidae.